AUUCACUAAACCAAUUCAAUUUCCUCCAUUUCCAAAAUAUCUUAUGCCAUUUCAUGAUGUUUACCAACAACCGCAUAAGACGUUCGUAGACAUUAUUGGCAUAGUUGUUCAUUUGGAGCCAUUAAAGUAUAUCGGUGGAAGGCCAUACAGAGAGGCUGUACUAAUGGAUUCCAGGUGGAAUCUAAUUGUCAUGGGGGUAUGGACUGAUCUCCUGCAGAGAAAUGCUCUACGAUGGGCAUUAGCUAAAGUUGACAAGAAUAUAAUUAUUGCAACAAUGAUGCGUCGUAACAAUAAAUACAGUAAUUUCUCCUAUACCUAGCAUCUUUCAACAUAUAUUCAAUUUUCAUGUUUAUUAUUAAUUCUAUACUAUAAAUAACAAUAGGAUG
Zea mays is the source of this 386-nucleotide long non-coding RNA. RefSeq lists it as uncharacterized. The transcript has 3 exons. The record is from RefSeq and is a predicted model, not a curated record. NCBI's taxonomy places the organism in Eukaryota, Viridiplantae, Streptophyta, Magnoliopsida, Poales, Poaceae.